AGCGGGGUGGAGCAGUCCGGUAGCUCGUUGGGCUCAUAACCCAAAGGUCGCAGGUUCAAAUCCUGUCCCCGCAACCA
Molecule: transfer RNA, 77 nt
Filed under: Deltaproteobacteria bacterium
Lineage: Bacteria; Pseudomonadati; Myxococcota; Myxococcia
Also listed under: 1 other name
Description: tRNA-Met
Rfam family: tRNA
About the family: Transfer RNA (tRNA) molecules are approximately 80 nucleotides in length. Their secondary structure includes four short double-helical elements and three loops (D, anti-codon, and T loops).
Source: RNAcentral